AGUGAACGCUGGCGGUAGGCCUCACACAUGCAAGUCGAACGGCAGCACAGUAAGAGCUUGCUCUUACGGGUGGCGAGUGGCGGACGGGUGAGGAAUACAUCGGAAUCUACUUUUUCGUGGGGGAUAACGUAGGGAAACUUACGCUAAUACCGCAUACGACCUACGGGUGAAAGCAGGGGAUCUUCGGACCUUGCGCGAUUGAAUGAGCCGAUGUCGGAUUAGCUAGUUGGCUGGGUAAAGGCCCACCAAAGCGACGAUCCGUAGCUGGUCUGCUAGGAUGGUCCACCAACCUAGAACUCAGACACGGUCCCACCUCCGAAGGGUGGCAGCAGUUGGGAAUAAUGGGCAAUUGCGGCAAACCGGUACCAAGCCACCCGGAUGGGCCAAAGAAGCACUCGGGUUAUAAAGCCCUUUUGAUGGGAAAUAAAAGCAGCAGGUUCAUACCCAGCCGCUCUGACGGUCACCAAAGGAUAAGCACCGGCUAACUUCGUG
Molecule: ribosomal RNA, 492 nt
Filed under: uncultured bacterium
Lineage: Bacteria
Description: partial 16S ribosomal RNA
Rfam family: Bacterial small subunit ribosomal RNA
Source: RNAcentral